Molecule: non-coding RNA, 31 nt
Filed under: Homo sapiens (human)
Lineage: Eukaryota; Metazoa; Chordata; Mammalia; Primates; Hominidae
Source: RNAcentral
UGGAAGUGGAUCUGCUUCCAAGGUCGGGAGU